Molecule: long non-coding RNA, 774 nt
Organism: Chenopodium quinoa (quinoa)
Lineage: Eukaryota; Viridiplantae; Streptophyta; Magnoliopsida; Caryophyllales; Amaranthaceae
Exons: 2
Source: RefSeq, a predicted model, not a curated record
UAGUGAUUAGAUCUGAGCAAGAGAUUAAAUAUUAAAUUUCAGUCUUUCUAAUUAUGUAUUCGGCCAAAAUCCGCCACUGCACGUCAAGACAAAUGAGUAUUAUUAAAUGUACAAAUAUUAUUUGGCAUAGAUUUUUAUUUUUAUUUUAUUUUCAACUUUUUUCUUCUAUAAAUAGGUUUUGGUUUGUGUUGAUUAGCAUCACCAAACAUACACUAUCCUAAUCUUAAAGGUUAUAGCUCUUUUACAAAAUAUAUAUCAUCAAUAUGAAGCAGGCAAUUUUUCUGGUGCUCUUGCUUGUUUUGGCAGCAGAGGUUGCGCCAAAAAUAGCAGAAGCAAGGACAUGUACUACUCCUAGUCACACAUUCAAAGGAAUAUGCGUUAGCAGCAGGAAUUGUGAAUCAAAUUGCAAUUCUGAGAGAUUUCCUAGUGGAAGUUGUCAAGGCUUUCGUAGAAGAUGCAUGUGCAGCAGGCCUUGUGAAUAAUAAUUCACAAGUCAUGUUAUCGUCCAUUCAUCUACGUACGUUGCAGUUGUUGUCGUUGCAUUAAGAGUUUUCCUCGUGAGGAUAGUCUAUUAAUGUUUCCUUUUCUUUUCUUGCUCCUUAUGUUUACAAGAAAAAGUACGUUGAUGUAAAAAAAAAAAAUUAAGGCUUGAUACUCGUAAAAGAUAUACUGCUUGAAGGCUACUAGCCGGCUUAUUGUGUGUAAUAAUAUGGACGGUUUUGUAUCUUUGUAUUUGUACUUUUAAUAUCAUGUCAUCUCUUUUAUUUACGUAUU